This 497-nucleotide ribosomal RNA is filed under the name uncultured bacterium. RNAcentral's name for it is "partial 16S ribosomal RNA". It matches the Rfam family "Bacterial small subunit ribosomal RNA", at positions 28 to 507 of the family's 1533-position model. The record is from RNAcentral.
GAUGAACGCUGGCGGCGUGCCUAAUACAUGCAAGUCGAGCGAACGGACGAGAAGCUUGCUUCUCUGAUGUUAGCGGCGGACGGGUGAGUAACACGUGGAUAACCUACCUAUAAUACUGGGAUAACUUCGGGAAACCGGAGCUAAUACCGGAUAAUAUUUUGAACCGCAUGGUUCAAAAGUGAAAGACGGUCUUGCUGUCACUUAUAGAUGGAUCCGCGCUGCAUUAGCUAGUUGGUAAGGUAACGGCUUACCAAGGCAACGAUGCAUAGCCGACCUGAGAGGGUGAUCGGCCACACUGGAACUGAGACACGGUCCAGACUCCUACGGGAGGCAGCAGUAGGGAAUCUUCCGCAAUGGGCGAAAGCCUGACGGAGCAACGCCGCGUGAGUGAUGAAGGCCUUCGGAUCGUAAAACUCUGUUAUUAGGGAAGAACAUAUGUGUAAGUAACUGUGCACAUCUUGACGGUACCUAAUCAGAAAGCCACGGCUAACUACGUG